RNAcentral lists this ribosomal RNA (590 nucleotides) under uncultured bacterium. RNAcentral's name for it is "bacterial SSU rRNA". It matches the Rfam family "Bacterial small subunit ribosomal RNA", at positions 338 to 916 of the family's 1533-position model. The record is from RNAcentral.
CCUACGGGAGGCAGCAGUAGGGAAUCUUCCGCAAUGGACGAAAGUCUGACGGAGCAACGCCGCGUGAACGAUGAAGGCCUUCGGGUCGUAAAGUUCUGUUGUUAGGGAAGAACAAGUGCUAGUUAAAUAAGCUGGCACCUUGACGGUACCUAACCAGAAAGCCACGGCUAACUACGUGCCAGCAGCCGCGGUAAUACGUAGGUGGCAAGCGUUGUCCGGAAUUAUUGGGCGUAAAGCGCACGCAGGCGGUUUCUUAAGUCUGAUGUGAAAGCCCCCGGCUCAACCGGGGAGGGUCAUUGGAAACUGGGAAACUUGAGUGCAGAAGAGGAAAGUGGAAUUCCAAGUGUAGCGGUGAAAUGCGUAGAGAUUUGGAGGAACACCAGUGGCGAAGGCGACUUUCUGGUCUGUAACUGACGCUGAGGCGCGAAAGCGUGGGGAGCAAACAGGAUUAGAUACCCUGGUAGUCCACGCUGUAAACGAUGAGUGCUAAGUGUUAGAGGGUUUCCGCCCUUUAGUGCUGAAGUUAACGCAUUAAGCACUCCGCCUGGGGAGUACGGUCGCAAGACUUGAAAACUUAAAGGAAUUGACGG